RNAcentral lists this ribosomal RNA (309 nucleotides) under uncultured bacterium. Its description in RNAcentral is "bacterial SSU rRNA". It matches the Rfam family "Bacterial small subunit ribosomal RNA", at positions 28 to 334 of the family's 1533-position model. The record is from RNAcentral.
GACGAACGCUGGCGGCGUGCCUAACACAUGCAAGUCGAACGGGACCUGCCCCUUCGGGGACAAGUUUAGUGGCGAACGGGUGAGUAACGCGUGAGGAACCUGCCUUUCAGUGGGGGACAACAGUUGGAAACGACUGCUAAUACCGCAUAAGCCCACGGAACCGCAUGGUUCUGGGGGAAAAGGAGCAAUUCGCUCUGGGAUGGACUCGCGUCCGAUUAGCUGGAUGGUGAGGUAACGGCCCACCAUGGCGACGAUCGGUAGCCGGACUGAGAGGUUGAUCGGCCACAUUGGGACUGAGACACGGCCCAG